CAUAAACCUGGCCAUGGAGAGAGAAAAUAGAAGGCGAUAUAUAGAGAGAAAGAGAGAACGAGAGAGAGAGAAGAUCGAAGAAGGCGAGAAGGUGUGAUCGAAGAGAGCUGUUGAUGGAGGGAUCAAUAUUCUUUCGGUAAUAACUUGAAGUAUCAAAUUCUAGUUGUCCAAGAAAAUAAUGGCAUAUUCAAAGGCUCAGGCUUGUGGAAGCUAAGUACUCGUACUGUUGAUGUGGGAGAGGAUAUAUGUGAAUCUGCAAUCAGAGAAGUAAAAGAAGUAAACUUGUUGUUUUAAUCUUUUGUUCUUUAUAUCAUUGAAGUACCCCAUUUCUAGUUCUAUAUAAAAUUUUAUGUGCUACACUUGCAUCCUGAGUUCCAGCAUUCAUGUCUAGUUCUAGAUCCUAAUUGUUUUUGAAAUUUAAGAAUAUGUCAAGUUGAUCUGUCCCAGCGUUCGACUCCCACAGCCCUAACCGAGUGUGGGUAACGUUCAUAUUUUCUUCCAUAUUCUUGGUACAUUUAUACUGCAUAUAUACUGAUGACUAAUCUUUAUUUUUUCAUUUGUAGAAGUUGAUUUAACUUGUAAUCUACUUUAGCUAUUAUCAUUAGCACUAGCACAUAAUAUAUAGACUUAUUUGGACCAGUGCGUGGUUCUUAAUGUAACUAUAUAAACAACCUAGAGUCUAGUAAAAGAGAAAAUUGACGCAUUCAGGAGGAUAACUUGGUAUAUAGGGACAGAGAAGCACCUUAAAAAUCUAGAUGCUGCUACUUCUUUCUGCUCAUGAUAUAUAUCUCUAUUAUUAUUUACUAAUUUCAUGAUUAUCAUCAUUCAUCAGUGAACAAGAUUUAGCUAUGAUAAUUAGUCAGUGAGGAUGCAUUCUAGAUAUAAAGAUCACAGUAACUAAACUAUCUUAUAUUUGGUGUUUGUAAUUUUUUUUCUUUUUAUUGAUAUUUUGGACAUUGAACCAAAUAAAAUAUUGAUAUGAACUAAUCUUUUGUUUUCCUCAUCUCUUUUCAGGUCUGCUUAAUCUAUGUUCCAGGUUGAAGCCUUUGUCUUAAAAGAAACAACGCUCUGUAAAACUAUAUGAACCGGCACAAUCUACUGAAAAUUGUUGUUGAGGAACUUGCUAUGCGCCCGUCUUUCAACAAUCGAAUUGAGGGUGUAUGCUUUGCUGGUUUUCACACAAGCCCCAGAAGAUGCUGUUCUUGGAAUAAUCGAUGACCAUGGGGCUGAUAUGAAAAGUCUUCUGUUCUGGAUUUUUUAUUUAUAAAAAAUUGGUGUAAUAAAAUAUUGAUGUAUUUUAUUUAACAUUCUAUAUUUAGGAUAAUUAUUAAUAAUUUUUGUAACAAUGGUAUUGCUCUUGGGUGUGGUUUUGUAGGCAUCGUUAGAUUUGUGGUGGGUAACAUUCUUGGUUCUUUUUUGGGAUUUUCUUGUGAUGAACCUUUAAUGAUGGAAUAAUAUACUUUUGGAA
This is a long non-coding RNA of Daucus carota subsp. sativus, 1468 nucleotides long. RefSeq lists it as uncharacterized. The transcript is spliced from 4 exons. The record is from RefSeq and is a predicted model, not a curated record. NCBI's taxonomy places the organism in Eukaryota, Viridiplantae, Streptophyta, Magnoliopsida, Apiales, Apiaceae.